UUAACGGCUGCAAUGAGAAUUGUACUAAGGUAGCGUGAUAAGUUGUCUUUUAAUUGAAGAAUGGUAUGAAUGGUUUGAUGUGAAAAAGCUGUCUUUAUACAAGCUUAUGAAGUUUCCUUUUAAGUGUAAAGGCUUAUAUAUUUAUAAAAGACGAGAAGACCCUGUCGAGUUUAAUUAGAUUUAAUUAGAGAUUAUUAGUUUAAAAUUUUAUUGGGGCAAUAUAGGUUAAUUUAGCCAUCUAUCAAUAAGGUAGAGAUCCUUUAAGAGAGAAGAGACAAAAACUACCGCAGGGAUAACAGCGUUAUCCUUUUUAAGAGAUCUUAUUGAGAGAAGGGUUUGCGACCUCGAUGUUGGAUUAGAAAAA
Molecule: ribosomal RNA, 364 nt
Filed under: Dosinia lupinus
Lineage: Eukaryota; Metazoa; Mollusca; Bivalvia; Venerida; Veneridae
Description: partial 16S ribosomal RNA
Rfam family: Bacterial large subunit ribosomal RNA
Source: RNAcentral